GUGGAUGGAAUUUGUAACGUAACGAUAAAAUGUAUCAAUCUUACAAGGAACUUUUUAAGCGAAGGUAAUCCACUUAAGAAUAAAAGUUUAAAAACUACUGUCACUUAUUAGCUAAAGUUUGAGUAUCAACAUAGAUUUGUAACCUAUUUAGUUCAAACCGUAAACGAUGGCUGUUUUUUCAAACCUCAUUGAAAGUAGUUAACAUAAAACAGCCUACCUGAACAGUAAGUCCGCAAGGAUGAAAUUGAAAGAAUUAGAUGAAGAAAUAGAUCAUCUGUGGAGUAUGUUGUUUAAUGUGAUAAUACUCACUAAUCUUACCCAGUUUUGUAUCUUGCUAGACUUAAACCCACCGAGAAUAAUUCUCUUGAUUUACAGCAAGACAGAUGUUGCAUGAUUGUCGUCAGUUCUUACUGCGAAAUAUUAGAUUAAUUUCUACAAAGAGCGUAAUACUAAUCCUUUGUUAAAUAUUCUAAGGAGAUCGUCUAAAAUAAUUCUACUGAAACUAGUAAUACGUCUAAAUCUAUAUGACUUAUAUAACUGGGGCUACCUAAUGUACUACAUUGAAAGUUGACGCAAAGAGUUGCACUCUCAAAAUAAGUAUGAUAGCCAAUCUUUAAAUCACUUUCGAAUUCGGAUUGCUCUUUGAGACUUAAGAGCAUGAAGUUGGAAUAGAUAGUAAUGAUCAAAUAGAAAAUGAUCAUGAACUUUAACAUAUUUCUUUUACUUAUCGCCCAUCAAUUU
This 741-nucleotide ribosomal RNA is filed under the name Haptolina ericina. RNAcentral's name for it is "partial Bacterial small subunit ribosomal RNA". It matches the Rfam family "Bacterial small subunit ribosomal RNA", at positions 657 to 1403 of the family's 1533-position model. The record is from RNAcentral. Lineage: Eukaryota; Haptophyta; Prymnesiales; Prymnesiaceae.